UACGUAGGGGGCUAGCGUUGUCCGGAAUCAUUGGGCGUAAAGCGCGCGUAGGCGGCCCGGUAAGUCCGCUGUGAAAGUCAAAGGCUCAACCUUUGAAUGUCAGCGGAUACUGCCGGGCUAGAGUCCGGAAGAGGCGAGUGGAACUCCUGGUGUAGCGGUGGAAUGCGCAGAUAUCAGGAAGAACACCAACGGCGAAGGCAGCUCGCUGGGACGGAACUGACGCUAAGGCGCGAAAGCGUGGGGAGUGAACAGG
Molecule: ribosomal RNA, 253 nt
Filed under: uncultured bacterium
Lineage: Bacteria
Description: partial 16S ribosomal RNA
Rfam family: Bacterial small subunit ribosomal RNA
Source: RNAcentral